This 60-nucleotide transfer RNA is filed under the name Hypselodoris bullockii. RNAcentral's name for it is "tRNA-Ser". Lineage: Eukaryota; Metazoa; Mollusca; Gastropoda; Nudibranchia; Chromodorididae. The record is from RNAcentral.
UGGAAGUCUGAAACUUAGGCUGCUAACUUGAGUUCGGGAAAUCUUAUUUUCCACUUUCAU